RNAcentral lists this ribosomal RNA (2106 nucleotides) under Triticum aestivum (bread wheat). RNAcentral's name for it is "partial small subunit ribosomal RNA". Lineage: Eukaryota; Viridiplantae; Streptophyta; Magnoliopsida; Poales; Poaceae. The record is from RNAcentral.
AUGCAGAUGGCCACCCUGAGGUACCACCGGCACCAUAUCAUAUGCUCCAUUAAUCCUCAAAAGCAAAGUCAACUUGGCCGAGGAAGGAAGGAAACAAAUGGGAGGAAACAGAUAGAUAGAUGGAUCCUGGUCAACUCCUUAAACAACAACCUUCCAAACGAGCGCCAAUGUCAACUCUACCCGUCUCCCCUUCUCGGAUAUGUCGCCCAUUUGUCUCGGCCCCGAUGCGCAUCCAGAUCCGGCGACACGCCGAUACGCCGCCGUUUCCUCCACCUCCACCGCCUCGGCUUCGUCACUUUCAUGGGCAACCGCGCGGCGAGGCUGGCCACGCCCUGCUUCGCGUCGGGGGGCCGGUCAACGGUGGACGCGUCCGCCGCGGCGAGGGCGGCCGCGGCCGGCGGGGACUAUGGUGGUGACUGCGGCGUCGGCCAGAUUCUGAGCUUUGAUGGCUAUGACGCGUUCGACGGCGCCACCAUCCACGGCGUGCUGCUCCCGUCCAACCAGUCCACCAUCGGGACCGCCGCCUCCUCCUCCGCCAACUCCUUCUCCAACCAGUUGUCGCUCUCGGCGUCGUCCUCCUGCGACAGCUCCAGCUCCUUCUCCUUCCGCACGCUCCAGCCGGGCCUCUUCUCGGGGAGCCUGGACUACUGCGCGUCGCCGUCGUCGUCGUCGUCCGGGCCGAACUCGGGCGCGCUCUCGUCGGCGGCGUCGCGGCGGGGCGCGCGCACUGAAGAGGACAUCAUGGCGGACCUCUACGCCACAAGGCGCCGGCGCCGGUGCCAGCUCGAGGAGGCCGCGUCCGGGAGCCCGCUCCUCGACCGCCUCCGCCGCGCUGUCGCGUCGGCGCUGCGCGUCGGCCGCGCGGCCAAGAAGCAGCCUGCCGUGACGACGCUGGCCACCAACGGCGGCACCGCCACCAUCGGCGGCGGCGGCGCGAUCAGGGGCAACGGCGAGAACGGGCACGCGGCGGAGGACAAGGUGCAGUGGGCGCGCGGCAAGGCAGGGGAGGACAGGGUGCACGUCGUCGUGUCGGAGGAGCGCGGCUGGAUGUUCGUCGGCAUCUACGACGGCUUCAACGGCCCGGACGCCACCGACUACCUCGUCGCCAACCUCUACGCCUCCGUCUGCCGCGAGCUCCCCACCGACCACGAUCCUCCUCCGCCCGACGACGCCGGACGCGAGCAGCGGCCGCCGCCAUCGUCGUGCAACGGCAGAAACAGCGCCGACGACCUGAUCCGGCGCCGGGGGCGGCACGGCGCGGUACUGGACGCGCUGGCGCGCGCGCUGCGGCGCACGGAGGAGGGCUACUUCGCGGAGGCGGAGGCGCGCGCGGCCGAGUGCCCGGAGCUGGCCAUGAUGGGGUCCUGCGUGCUGGUGCUGCUCAUGAAGGGCGCCGACGUCUACUCCAUGAACGUCGGCGACAGCCGCGCCGUGCUCGCGCACCGGGCCGAGCCCGACCUCACCAGCGUCAUCAUGCCGCCACGCCACCGGCACCAGCACAGCGCCGACGGCCACGUCACGGAGGAGAUCAGGCGGCAGUUCGACGAGUGCGACAUGACCGAGCUCGUCGCGCUCCAGCUCACCAUGGAGCACAGCACCACCGCCUACAAGGAGGUGAAAAGGAUAAGGAGUGAGCACCUUGAUGAUCCUGCCUGCAUAGUCAAUGGCAGAGUGAAGGGCUCCUUGAAGGUCACAAGAGCAUUUGGAGCUGGCUACCUGAAAGAGCCCAGGUGGAACAAGGCUCUCUUGGAAGUUUUCCGGGUGGACUAUGUUGGCGUCUUGCCUUACAUUACUUGCAAGCCAUUCCUCCGACACCACUGCCUCGGGCCACGGGACAAGUUCCUUAUCCUCGCCUCGGAUGGGCUCUACGAGUACUUCACCAACGAGGAGGUGGUGGGGCACGUGGAGGCGUUCACCUCCAGGUUCCCCGACGAGGAUCCUGCAAAGUACCUCAGCCACGAGAUCCUCCUCCGCGCCGCCAGGCAAGCCGGAAUGGGGUUCCAUGAGUUGCUUGAGGUACGGCAAGGGGAUCGGCGACAAUACCAUGACGACGUCUCCAUCAUCAUCAUCUCAUUGGAGGGGAAGAUAUGGAGAUCUUCAGCCUGA